Molecule: ribosomal RNA, 460 nt
Filed under: uncultured bacterium
Lineage: Bacteria
Description: partial 16S ribosomal RNA
Rfam family: Bacterial small subunit ribosomal RNA
Source: RNAcentral
CCUACGGGUGGCAGCAGUGAGGAAUAUUGGUCAAUGGACGAGAGUCUGAACCAGCCAAGUAGCGUGAAGGAUGACUGCCCUAUGGGUUGUAAACUUCUUUUAUAUGGGAAUAAAAUGUUCCACGUGUGGGAUUUUGUAUGUACCAUAUGAAUAGGGAUCGGCUAACUCCGUGCCAGCAGCCGCGGUAAUACGGAGGAUCCGAGCGUUAUCCGGAUUUAUUGGGUUUAAAGGGAGCGUAGGUGGAUUGUUAAGUCAGUUGUGAAAGUUUGCGGCUCAACCGUAAAAUUGCAGUUGAAACUGGCAGUCUUGAGUACAGUAGAGGUGGGCGGAAUGCGUGGUGUAGCGGUGAAAUGCUUAGAUAUCACGAAGAACUCCGAUUGCGAAGGCAGUUCACUGGACUGCAACUGACACUGAGGCUCGAAAGUGUGGGUAUCAAACAGGAUUAGAUACCCGUGUAGUC